GGACUACCCGGGUUUCUAAUCCUGUUUGCUCCCCACGCUCUCGCGCCUCAGUGUCAGUGUCAAUCCAGGUAGCCGCCUUCGCCACUGGUGUUCCUUCCGAUAUCUACGCAUUUCACCGCUACACCGGAAAUUCCACUACCCUCUAUCGCACUCCAGUUACGCAGUAUAAUAUGCAAUUCCCAGGUUAAGCCCGGGGAUUUCACAUAUCACUUACCUAACCACCUACGCGCCCUUUACGCCCAGUAAUUCCGAUUAACGCUCGCACCCUCUGUAUUACCGCGGCGGCUGGCAC
Molecule: ribosomal RNA, 292 nt
Filed under: uncultured bacterium
Lineage: Bacteria
Description: partial 16S ribosomal RNA
Source: RNAcentral